UAAUUUUUUAAUGCAUUUUGUAUGAUAUUUUUAAAUAAAAUACUCUUUGAAGAUUUUUUGUAAAUUACAUUUUAUAUUCAUUUAAGUCUAAACAAAAGUUACUUUAAUUAUUGCCAGGUUGUGUGUUUUUGCAGGUCAAUUAUUUGGCACAAAUCGGAGUUAAAGACAAAGGAGAUUAUAUAUUUUAUUUGCUAAGAAUAGUUUUUUAAAAUGGCCUAGUUGUAAAAUUAAACUAUGCAGGGAGAGGACAAAAAAUUGGAAUAGAAAAAAUAUUGAUUGCAUAUGCUGCUAUUGAAUCUGUGAAGUCAAAUAAGCAUGGCUUAUGCAGACAUGUGAUAGAGAUAGAGGAAGAAAAAAUAAUAGACGUGGGCACCAAAUAUCAAAAGCUAAACAAUAUUCAAUAACAAGUAGCUCAGCCAAUAUCGAAACUACUCUAUAAAUUUUAUAGUUAAUUUUUUUAUUUAAAA
Long non-coding RNA from Hydra vulgaris (swiftwater hydra), 467 nucleotides. RefSeq lists it as uncharacterized. Lineage: Eukaryota; Metazoa; Cnidaria; Hydrozoa; Anthoathecata; Hydridae. The record is from RefSeq and is a predicted model, not a curated record.